RNAcentral lists this long non-coding RNA (440 nucleotides) under Homo sapiens (human). Its description in RNAcentral is "long non-coding RNA NONHSAT005714". Lineage: Eukaryota; Metazoa; Chordata; Mammalia; Primates; Hominidae. The record is from RNAcentral.
AUUCUCCGGGGACCCUUCCGUAUCUGCAUAGGCAUUUUGCUGUCUCCUCCUAAUACGGAACAAGCACAAUAUAAAAAACAAUUAGAGCAGUUAAACAAGGAUAUCAUACAGCUUCACUAAAUAAGAAGGAACUCACACUUAAAGAUGUGGAUUGUAAAUUCUACAAAAUGAAAACUGCUUAUGAAGAGGUUACAACUGAGUUAGAAGAAUAUAAGGAAGCCUUUGCAGCAGCAUUGAAAGCUAACAGUUCCAUGUCAAAAAAAUUAACUAAAUCGAAUAAGAAAAUAGCAAUGAUCAGUAUCAGCUCUUUAUGGAGAAAGAGCAGCUCUGGAAUGAGUCAUUUUUUUUAGAAGCAGAGGUGGAGCCACUGAGGAAACACAGGUGAGCCCUCCCCAGUGUGUACUCACUGGUCCCCAACAGAAGAACCACUGCCACAUCCA